AGCUCCAAUAGCGUAUAUUAAAGUUGCUGCAGUUAAAAAGCUCGUAGUUGCAUUUCCGAGGCAAGGGAUUAGUCCGACCUUUGGUGGGUAUUUAAUCCUCUUGCCUCGUCCUUGAGUGGUGCUUCUUGGUAUUAAGUUAUCGAGGAGAUAGCCGCUCAUCGUUUACUGUGAGAAAAUUAGAGUGUUCAAAGCAGGCUUAUGCCGUUGAAUAUAUUAGCAUGGAAUAAUAAGAUAGGACCUCGGUACUAUUUUGUUGGUUUGAGAGCCGAGGUAAUGAUGAAUAGGGACAGUUGGGGGUAUUCGUAUUCAGUUGUCAGAGGUGAAAUUCUUAGAUUUACGGAAGACGAACUACUGCGAAAGCAUUUACCAAGGAUGUUUUCA
Molecule: ribosomal RNA, 381 nt
Filed under: uncultured marine Chaetocerotaceae
Lineage: Eukaryota; Bacillariophyta; Thalassiosirophyceae; Chaetocerotales; Chaetocerotaceae
Description: SSU rRNA
Rfam family: Eukaryotic small subunit ribosomal RNA
Source: RNAcentral